This 307-nucleotide ribosomal RNA is filed under the name uncultured bacterium. Its description in RNAcentral is "partial 16S ribosomal RNA". It matches the Rfam family "Bacterial small subunit ribosomal RNA", at positions 506 to 807 of the family's 1533-position model. The record is from RNAcentral.
AGACAGCAGUCGCCGCGGUAAUACAGAGGGUGCGAGCGUUAAUCGGAUUUACUGGGCGUAAAGCGUGCGUAGGCGGCUUUUUAAGUCGGAUGUGAAAUCCCUGAGCUUAACUUAGGAAUUGCAUUCGAUACUGGGAAGCUAGAGUAUGGGAGAGGAUGGUAGAAUUCCAGGUGUAGCGGUGAAAUGCGUAGAGAUCUGGAGGAAUACCGAUGGCGAAGGCAGCCAUCUGGCCUAAUACUGACGCUGAGGUACGAAAGCAUGGGGAGCAAACAGGAUUAGAUACCCCCGUAGUCCCUGUCUCUUAUAC